GUGCCAGCCGCCGCGUUAAUACCGGCAGCUCGAGUGAUGACCGAUAUUAUUGGGCCUAAAGCGUCCGUAGCCGGCCACGUAGGUCCGUCGGGAAAUCCACUCGCUUAACGAGUGGGCGUCCGGCGGAAACCACGUGGCUUGGGGCCGGAAGACCUGAGGGGUACGUCCGGGGUAGGAGUGAAAUCCUGUAAUCCUGGACGGACCGUCGGUGGCGAAAGCGCCUCAGGAAGACGGACCCGACGGUGAGGGACGAAAGCUAGGGUCUCGAACCGGAUUAGAAACCCCUGUAGUCC
RNAcentral lists this ribosomal RNA (293 nucleotides) under uncultured bacterium. RNAcentral's name for it is "partial 16S ribosomal RNA". It matches the Rfam family "Archaeal small subunit ribosomal RNA", at positions 455 to 747 of the family's 1478-position model. The record is from RNAcentral.